UGGGGGAUAUUGCACAAUGGGGGAAACCCUGAUGCAGCGACGCCGCGUGGAGGAAGAAGGUUUUCGGAUUGUAAACUCCUGUCGUUAGGGACGAAUAUUUGACGGUACCUAACAAGAAAGCACCGGCUAACUACGUGCCAGCAGCCGCGGUAAAACGUAGGGUGCAAGCGUUGUCCGGAAUUACUGGGUGUAAAGGGAGCGCAGGCGGACCGGCAAGUUGGGAGUGAAAUCUAUGGGCUCAACCCAUAAAUUGCUUUCAAAACUGCUGGCCUUGAGUAGUGCAGAGGUAGGUGGAAUUCCCGGUGUAGCGGUGGAAUGCGUAGAUAUCGGGAGGAACACCAGUGGCGAAGGCGACCUACUGGGCACCAACUGACGCUGAGGCUCGAAAGCAUGGGUAGCAAACAG
This 405-nucleotide ribosomal RNA is filed under the name uncultured bacterium. RNAcentral's name for it is "bacterial SSU rRNA". It matches the Rfam family "Bacterial small subunit ribosomal RNA", at positions 355 to 775 of the family's 1533-position model. The record is from RNAcentral.